CCGAGUUUACAACUCCCAAACCCAAUGUGAACGUUACCAAACUGUUGCCUCGGCGGGAUCUCUGCCCCGGGUGCGUCGCAGCCCCGGACCAAGGCGCCCGCCGGAGGACCAACCAAAACUCUUUUUGUAUACCCCCUCGCGGGUUUUUUAUAAUCUGAGCCUUCUCGGCGCCUCUCGUAGGCGUUUCGAAAAUGAAUCAAAACUUUCAACAACGGAUCUCUUGGUUCUGGCAUCGAUGAAGAACGCAGCGAAAUGCGAUAAGUAAUGUGAAUUGCAGAAUUCAGUGAAUCAUCGAAUCUUUGAACGCACAUUGCGCCCGCCAGUAUUCUGGCGGGCAUGCCUGUCCGAGCGUCAUUUCAACCCUCGAACCCCUCCGGGGGGUCGGCGUUGGGGAUCGGCCCUGCCUCUUGGCGGUGGCCGUCUCCGAAAUACAGUGGCGGUCUCGCCGCAGCCUCUCCUGCGCAGUAGUUUGCACACUCGCAUCGGGAGCGCGGCGCGUCCACAGCCGUUAAACACCCAACUUCUGAAAUGUUGACCUCGGAUCAGGUAGGAAUACCCGCUGAACUUAAGCAUAUCAAAAGCCGGAGGAA
Molecule: ribosomal RNA, 590 nt
Filed under: Trichoderma harzianum
Lineage: Eukaryota; Fungi; Ascomycota; Sordariomycetes; Hypocreales; Hypocreaceae
Description: eukaryotic LSU rRNA
Rfam family: 5.8S ribosomal RNA (bases 201-354)
Source: RNAcentral